UAUUAAAAGUGUCAUUGUUGUGCGUCAACUUAUAAACAUAUUUUUAAAAAAACCCAACCCGGCCCUGCUUCCCUAAAUGACCCUCAUAUCCUCUUUGCACAAUGGAGAGUCAGCGAGUGGAAGACAGGAAGAUGAGUUUGAAAUAUCCGGGGGUGUUUGAGUUUCUCCAAGUGUCGGGCUAAGACAAACAGAAUCCGUGUGAUUCGGUCCAAGACAGCUCCAAGGGGGCUCGGUUGCGGGCGAGACGCCCUAGAGAGAGGGCCCCAUAAACAAUGCCGUAAACACUGCAUCGCGGGCUCGUUCGGCUCGGCGGGGUCCUCAUUUUUUACUAAUAUUACCGUUUGAUGGUUGUUUAUUUUAGGGUUUAUGUCUUCGGUUUGCUUUCGGGUUAUGGGAUUUUUUCUAGGGCGGGUUAUAAUGUUCGCCCAUAUACCAUAUUUAGUAUCAUUGGAUUCGGAGAUUUAUUGCUCUCGUUAGGAGCUUUUCGAUUAAAGUGAGUCAAAGAGGCGAAAAGAUCGGUUCAGAGGGAAACGGACAGGUGGAAAGAAACUGCAAGCCGUAAAUUGCCAACGGGUGCAGAUGGUGACCUUAUGACUUGUACCUCAGGUUCUACGUUUUUUUAGAAGUUGAACGCAUAUAAGGGGUCAUUUUCUACUUAGUUAAUUAUACCAGUUAUAGUAGAGACUACCUACCUUGAUUAUAAAACGACUAUUUAAGAAUUUAUUGUUUAGUAGUUUACCUACCUAUUUUACAAAUAAAAAAAAAUAUUUUCCAAUAGAUACUAAUUAAAAAUGUUGCUGGUACUCAAA
Molecule: long non-coding RNA, 809 nt
Organism: Tribolium castaneum (red flour beetle)
Lineage: Eukaryota; Metazoa; Arthropoda; Insecta; Coleoptera; Tenebrionidae
Exons: 3
Source: RefSeq, a predicted model, not a curated record